GGAUGUGAGAGCAAUCUGGCUGCGACAUCUGUCAUCCCAUUGAUCGCCAGGGUUGAUUCGGCUGAUCUGGCUGGCUAGGCGGGUGUCCCCUUCCUUCCUCACUGCUACAUGUGCGUCCCUCCCGAAGCUGCACGCUCGGUCGAAGAGGACGACCAUCCCCGAUAGAGGAGGACCGUUCUUCGGUCAAGGGUAUAUGAGUAGCUGCACUCCCCUGCUAGAACCUCCAAACAAGCGCUCAAGAGAGGCCCAUCUGAAGCAUCAGGCAGGUGACCUGUCUGCUCUGGUGCAGAUACCUUGGUGCAAAUCUGGUCCCUC
RNAcentral lists this small nuclear RNA (315 nucleotides) under Castor canadensis (American beaver). RNAcentral's name for it is "7SK RNA (ENSCCNG00000002048.1)". It matches the Rfam family "7SK RNA". From Rfam's summary of the family: 7SK was discovered as an abundant small nuclear RNA in the mid-70s but a possible function has only recently been suggested. Two independent studies have found that 7SK RNA binds the CDK9/cyclin T complex (known as elongation factor P-TEFb). P-TEFb activates transcription by phosphorylating the C-terminal domain of RNA polymerase II. Lineage: Eukaryota; Metazoa; Chordata; Mammalia; Rodentia; Castoridae. The record is from Rfam by way of RNAcentral.